Non-coding RNA from Gossypium raimondii (Peruvian cotton), 87 nucleotides. Lineage: Eukaryota; Viridiplantae; Streptophyta; Magnoliopsida; Malvales; Malvaceae. The record is from Rfam.
CACGUCAGCGCGAGUUGCUGACGUGGAAGGAAAUUGCGUCCUUGAGGGAGCGAUGUCCUUCUACGUCAGCAACUCGCGCUGACGUGG